AUUCUACCCAUGUGGGGAAGGAUGAGAAGCUUCGACUAAGGUUCGAUUCGAGCGCAGCGAGAAAGCGUUGCCGCAGGCAACGACCCGAAGGGCGAAGCGCGCAGCGCUGAGUCAUCCUUCUCCCACCACCA
This 131-nucleotide small RNA is filed under the name Salmonella enterica. RNAcentral's name for it is "RtT sRNA". It matches the Rfam family "RtT RNA". Rfam says of the family: This family represents a bacterial cis-regulatory element known as RtT RNA. The exact function of RtT is unknown although it is thought that it may be involved in changing the cellular response in relation to amino acid starvation. RNAcentral also lists the same sequence under 4 other names. The record is from RNAcentral. Lineage: Bacteria; Pseudomonadati; Pseudomonadota; Gammaproteobacteria; Enterobacterales; Enterobacteriaceae.